This 253-nucleotide ribosomal RNA is filed under the name uncultured prokaryote. Its description in RNAcentral is "partial 16S ribosomal RNA". It matches the Rfam family "Bacterial small subunit ribosomal RNA", at positions 524 to 776 of the family's 1533-position model. The record is from RNAcentral.
GACAGAGGGGGCAAGCGUUGCUCGGAAUCACUGGGCGUAAAGGGUUCGUAGGUGGCCAACUCAGUCAGACGUGAAAUCCCUCAGCUCAACUGGGGAACUGCGUCUGAUACUAGAUGGCUCGAGUGCAGGAGAGGAACGCGGAAUUCCAGGUGUAGCGGUGAAAUGCGUAGAUAUCUGGAGGAACACCGGUGGCGAAGGCGGCGUUCUGGACUGCAACUGACACUGAGGAACGAAAGCCAGGGGAGCAAACGGG